AGCUCCAAUAGCGUAUAUUAAAGUUGUUGCAGUUAAAAAGCUCGUAGUUGGAUUUCUGACAGAGUCAUUUGACCCGUGGUCGCUAAGAUCUACGAGAGUCGGUGUGGCUCAGUCAUCCUUCUAGAAAUUGAUCGCAGCCUUCAUUGGUUGUGGUUAGGAUCUAGAUCUUUUACUUUGAAAAAAUUAGAGUGUUUAAAGCAGGCAAUUGCCUUGAAUACAUUAGCAUGGAAUAAUAACUUAGGACUUUGGUUCUAUUUUGUUGGUUUCUAGGACUAAGGUAAUGAUUGAUAGGGAUAGUUGGGGGUGCUAGUAUUCAGCGGCCAGAGGUGAAAUUCUUGGAUUCGCUGAAGACUAACUUAUGCGAAAGCAUUCACCAAGGAUGUCU
RNAcentral lists this ribosomal RNA (385 nucleotides) under uncultured eukaryote. RNAcentral's name for it is "SSU rRNA". It matches the Rfam family "Eukaryotic small subunit ribosomal RNA", at positions 587 to 969 of the family's 1831-position model. The record is from RNAcentral.